This 373-nucleotide long non-coding RNA is filed under the name Hordeum vulgare. Its description in RNAcentral is "long non-coding RNA (HVUL_LNC002360)". Lineage: Eukaryota; Viridiplantae; Streptophyta; Magnoliopsida; Poales; Poaceae. The record is from RNAcentral.
UGCCGAUGGGAACAACCUUUUCUCCUUUGCAUAUUGAAACUAGGCUACAUCGAUGCACCAAUAUUCUAUUCAAUACGCCUAAGAAAUCAACCUUUUACACUAAUAUAAGCAUCUGUCAGUUACCUGUUGAGAACUGAAGCCCAUUGUUCUGCAGAUUUGGACCAGCGUUUUCCGUCAUGGCUUCCGUCGGGCCUCCCCUGCCAAUACCUUGCGCCAACACCCGCGUCUCGCCGCCAAUGAACUACCGCCGAGCGCCCUUGCCUAGCCUAGGGUUCACUACGAUGGGACAAGCGAGCUAAAGGGAGACCUUGUGUCUCGCAUUUUCUUUUCUUUUUUUUGAGAAAACUUAUGUCUUGCAUUGAGCCAGACCUAG